GUGAGGAAUAUUGGACAAUGGGCGCAAGCCUGAUCCAGCCAUGCCGCGUGCAGGAAGACGCAUCUAUGGUGUGUAAACUGCUUUUGUACGGGAAGAAACACUCCCUCGUGAGGGAGCUUGACGGUACCGUAAGAAUAAGGAUCGGCUAACUCCGUGCCAGCAGCCGCGGUAAUACGGAGGAUCCAAGCGUUAUCCGGAAUCAUUGGGUUUAAAGGGUCCGUAGGCGGUUUAAUAAGUCAGUGGUGAAAGCCCAUCGCUCAACGAUGGGACGGACAUUGAUACUGUUAGAGUUGAAUUACAAUGAAGUAGCUAGAAUAUGUAGUGUAGCGGUGAAAUGCUUAGAUAUUACAUGGAAUACCAAUUGCGAAGUCAGGUUACUACUUGUGGAUUGACGCUGAUGGACGAAAGCGUGGGGAGCGAACAGGAUUAGAAACCCGUGUAGUCC
RNAcentral lists this ribosomal RNA (445 nucleotides) under uncultured bacterium. RNAcentral describes it as "partial 16S ribosomal RNA". It matches the Rfam family "Bacterial small subunit ribosomal RNA", at positions 354 to 796 of the family's 1533-position model. The record is from RNAcentral.